Molecule: long non-coding RNA, 4631 nt
Filed under: Vitis vinifera (wine grape)
Lineage: Eukaryota; Viridiplantae; Streptophyta; Magnoliopsida; Vitales; Vitaceae
Description: long non-coding RNA (VVIN_LNC002506)
Source: RNAcentral
AUAAUUAAUUAACUUAAAGUAAAUAAUUUUUUAGGAGACACUUAGCACACAUUGAGUGGAAAGAUUUUAAAGCCAAUCUUGUUGUUCUUGUAUCCAUUAGGGUUUUUUUUUUUUUUUUUUUUACUCUAUGAAAAUAAGAAGGGUGUAAGAGUAAAUUCACAAUCUCUCAAAAAAUACAUAAACCUAAAUGGAAGAAGAUAUUUAACCAAAAUAUCCCAUAAUUUCAAAAAAACCAAAUGGUCCAAAAGUACCUUAGUUGACCUACUUUGUUCUUCAUCUUUGUCUUUAGAAUUUUUGUACAUGAGUAUCCUUGUCUAACAGUCUCUUUGAACUACUCACUUGCAUUUCCUAAUCUAUCCAAAAUUUUCUUAUGGGGUAAAUAUUGUCUAAAUGUAACAAAACCUAGAUGGUUAAUUCAUUAAGGAGUCUAAUAUUUCUUUAGUUACUAAUUCCUAGGAUUUUUAAACUCAUCAAAAAAACUCCGUAGCUCAAGUUUAACUUGAAUUAGAUUAUGUUUGGAUAGUUUUUUUAUUUUUAGAAAAUUUGCAUAUUUAUAUUGGAGGGUUGUUCGAUUGAGAAAAAAUUAAUAUGACUUUAGAAUUACAGUUCCUUUUUGUGGACUUUCCAAAUCUUUAAGUCCACUUAAACUUUCUUUUGUUAUGGGAGGAUUUAACAUUUGUGGAGUGAUCAUAUUGCAAUUCUGCUAUAGUUUUAAUCGCGAGAAUUUUUAUGAAUAAUUAUGACAUACAUAAUUUCACUAAGUUUUCUCUAAAAUAAAUAUCUCUUUUAUAUAUUACUUGUUUAAUUUUACAAAAGGUAUGAGAUAUAUGUUAUUUCCACAUUAAAAUUAAGUGGGUGGCCCACUAACCUAGUAUUUAGCCAAUUAAAUAAUAUCCACUAUCUUUAAACUGUUAUAGAUAUUUACCAUUGAUGGACUGGGUAAAUUAUAAUAAUUUUAAUAUUAUUAUUUAAGAUAAUUAACAGUUAUUUCGAUUGACACGUUCAGAACGGUUUUUGAACGUGUAUUCUUGGCCCUCUUCUCCUAUCAAUAAAAUAUAUAUACAGAAACCCCUUCAUGUGCAGUGUGUGCUUUUCCAUCAAUUACAGAAAAAUAACUGUGUGUAUUAAGGUUUGAUAAGGAGAAGAAGAGAUCAAGGUUUUAAGAUCUAUAAGCUGAAGGGAAAUCUCUCAUGGCUGCGUCUUCUUCAAAUGGUAUGUGAUCUAUUUGUUAAUUACUGGAUUUAUUUAUUAUUUUAUUAUCAGAGACGAGUUUGAAUCAUAAUGAUCUGGAUUAUUGUAUGUUUAUUUCCGUGUUAAAUUCCAACAAUAUAUGUUAAAUUUUUAUUUGGUCAAAAUGCUAUGAUUUAUAUUGAGUUUGCAAAAAUGAAUGUUACGAUGCCUUUAAGAAAUUAUUUAUUAUGAUGCAUAUGUUUACAACCAAUGAUAUGACAUGAUUUGUUAGACUUUUUGAACGUAAGAAAUUAUUUAUUAUGAUGCAUAUGUUUACAACCAAUGAUAUGACAUGGUUUGUUAGACUUUUUGAACGUUGAUAUUAACAUAUCCACUUGUAAGGUGUUUUGUGCAAUUUUGUUAUGGGAUUCCACACAAUUCAUGUAGUAGGGAAAUGUCAUAAAAUGGGAUUGUGGGUUUUGAUGUUGGGCUAAAGGGUAAAGCUUGAAGCGGUAAAGUAUGCAUUAUUGUGUCCUAAUAGGAUGACCAAGAGAUGAGUUCUUUAGUGUUGUAAUCCAUGGUGGUAAGACUCUAAAAACUGCAUAAAUGAAAGGUUCAUGGAUAGUAGACUUUUAUGUCGUCGAUGGAUUGACUAUAAAUAUGCUUAGACCUCUGAUUCCAUGUUUUACAUUUCACAUGUUCUUUAAAUGUUAUUAUGAUUAUUCUAUACUAGUUUUUAUUUACUAAAUUUAUUAUACAAUAUGUUUUAGAAUUGCCCGUAAUAUGAAUUGACUAUUUUAACACUUGUAUAUCGUGAAUAUAAGGUCUAGAGGGGUCCCUUCAUAUUGCUUUUAAAUAAUGUGUUAGAAAGGGUAUAUAUGUACUAGAUUUUUAUUUUUAUUUUCAUGUCAUAAUGGUGUUUUUCUUAAAACAUAUAUUUUUUAAUAUGUAUUAAAAAUUGAAUUGUAUCAUUUUGAUAAAUAAAUAUUUAUCUUUAUUUUCCAAAUUCCAUACUUCAAGAGUAAUGAUAUAUUUAAUCUUAAGAUGAUUUUCCUAUUUAUCAACUUCACAGUAUUCUCCUCUUUGGGUAUGAUUUAACUAAGUUCAAAGAUCAAAAUAUUGGUCAUAGGAUUUUACGAAAUAUUAAAAAGUAUUUAACCUAAAUAAAUACAUAAAAAAUACCAAAGGAACAAAAAUUAAUCAAAAUUUUUAGAAACAUUAACAAAAACUCUAAGAAAUAAUAAAACAUACAGUAAUACAUAUAUUGAAGUUAUUUUAUUAAAAAAUAUAUUUAUAUGAUAAAAUUUACCAUAUUCAAUAAUCAUAUAUAAAAUUUAAAAAUAAAUUUAAGAUUAAAUAUUUUUUUAAAUUCACUUGAUAUAUUUAUUUUAAAAAAAUAAAUUUAUAUUAAUAUAAUAUUAAAAAAAUAUUUUAAAAAAUAACAAUAAAAAAAAAAGAUUUUUUGUAAGGUUAUUUUUUAUAUAUUUCAUUCCAAACCCUUAUGUUUUCAUUCUCAUUUCAUUUCUUGAUGAUUAUAUAAAUACUUCAAUCGGAUUUUUUUCAUUCUAAUUUCGUUUUUUUCCUCAUUCUAAUUCCCUUUCUUUUCAAUUCUAUCUCCUUAUAAUUUAGUAAAUAAGUUUUUAAUUUGUAAAGUCACAUAUAUUGACAGUAUGGAUUAGAUGAGCAUAAGCCAUUUGGCCACAAUUUUAUUUUAGUUGUGUUUGGUUUUUGCAAAAUUUGAGGGAAAAAAAAAAGGGAAAUAAAGUAGAGUAGAAAAGUAAGACGAAAUAAAAAAAUAAAAGAAAAUAAAAUUAUAUAAUAUUUUAAACUUAUUUUUCAUAUUUUAUUUAAAGAUUAAAUAAUUUAAAUAUAUAUAAAUAUUUAAUUAAAAUUUAUUUUAAUUUCAUUUUUGUAUUUUUCCUUAGUAUAAAGUAAUUUUCCUUAGUAUUCUUUAUCUUUCCUCGUUACUUUUUGGAACCACAUAUGGUAUCACAAUAUGUUUGAAAUUUGGAAAACAUACAAAGGAAAGGAAAAUUAUUUUUCAUGAUCAACAUAUUAUAAAAUUCUGUGAAAAAAAAAAAGAGGAAGAAUUGAGAAAAUUUAAAUUUUUUUUUUUUCAAUUUCUUUUGCAACUGUUUUUAAAAAUAGUUUUGUGUACUCAAUAAUAAAAAUUAUAAAUAAAAAACAUGUUUGACAACCAAAAAACCUUUUUUUUUUCCUUAAAAACAAAAAAAUAGAGUAUUUUCAUAUAACAUUUUUUAAAAUUGUUUUAAGUUAUUUUCAUUUGUUUUUUGAGAAUUAUUUUAAAAAAUAAUUAUAUAAAUAUGUAAGAUGAUUAAAAAUAAAAUGCUAGAUAUAAAAAUUAUUUUUAAAAAUAAGUUAAAAACAUUUUAGAUUUUGAAAUAGAUUUUUGUUCUAUAAAAUACAAUUUUAAAAAACUAUGGUAAAAAAACUAUUUUUCAUAAUUAUUUUAACAAACGGUUACCAAAGAGUGCCAUAAUGUACAAUCAAUUUUGAUUUACAAAACUUGUGCUUGAUGUUUGUAAUUUGACAUUUUUUGUUUUUGUGUAGCUAUGAAAUGUUAACAAUUUUUUUUUUAUUUUUUUUUAUUUUUUAUAGAUGAGAGAUUAUAAUAAUUAGAAUAUAUGAUAGGAAAAAACUUGUUAUUAAUUAUUUAAUAAUUAAACCAUUACAAGUCUUACAUAAAUAUAAAGCAUCAUGCAUGUGCCAUGCAGCUUGUUCCCUAUGAACUUACACGUACAACAUAUGGAUGCAUCUCCCUCUCUCCAGGAAGGCAUCCACUUGUUAUUUUCAAAAGCUAAUUAAACACUUGCAGAAUUAUUCAAACACAACCUGCAGGAAAAUCCAGCAGCAAACAUUCGCAAGUGGAUCUAAGAAGGCCUAAUUAGAACGCUUGAAGGAUUCCAGUGGAAGGAAGAGCAGAGGGUUAGAGACACAGUAGCCCCUGUAACUAGCAGCAUAGAAUUUCCACUGGCAUCAGGGACGGACACAAGCCCAAGCAGAUCAAUGUUAACCGUCUGGCUGCGGCCUACCGAGGCCGUGGAAACAACCAUAAGAGCAAAGAAGAGAAGGGAAAGAGGGGGAAAGACCCAUGAUUAUCUCUGGGACCGGAGUAGUACUGAUACUGAACAAAAGCUAGUUAUGUCCAACACCCUUGAGGUAAUUGAGGGGGUGGAGCUCCAUGUGAAUUUAUAGAUAGGAUUUUUUCUAGAGUCACAUGAUCUCUUAGCUGUGUUUGGCAUAUCCAUGGGAUUGAUGUUGCUGGAUGUUGAGUUGGAUUCAAUUCAUUCCAAGUGCCCUUGUUAAUGUCUUCAGCGAGAUGAUGGGUGCCAUGACUCGUAAUGACACUCAGGAGAAUAACGCCACUAGUGUAUUCAGAACAAGCUUCUAUGUUCAAUUUAAGGGAUUAAUUUAACUCAUGUUUUUCUACAGCAUAGGGG